This 1087-nucleotide long non-coding RNA is filed under the name Anser brachyrhynchus (Pink-footed goose). RNAcentral's name for it is "lncRNA (ENSABRG00000011852.1)". Lineage: Eukaryota; Metazoa; Chordata; Aves; Anseriformes; Anatidae. The record is from RNAcentral.
ACCCCCCCAAGCCAAAGCUUACACUUGCCACAUUUGUAGCUUUGGAGGAAAUUAGAAAGCGCUGCCCUUUUCAUCUUCAGGACUCCUCCUUGAAGUAAAAUGGCAAAGAUCAGAUUUUCAUUGCAAGGUUAUUAGAUUUAGCUUUAUGUGGAUUCGUUUUACAAGAAUUAAAGGAUAUCUUAACCGUGCACCUUGCUUCGCCCCUGUGGCUCUUGUGGCAGGGAAAGACAUGAUUUUUUCCCCAGCACAAACAAUUAUCCCUUAAGCAGCAGAUAAAAUGAUUCGGUCACAGCUAAGUGCCAGGAAAGGCCGUCGGUGCUGCAGGGCCCGGCCUGGCAAACAGGCGGCCACGUGCCAGGGGACAGUGCCACCGCUGCCGUGAGCACCAGCCCCCGUGGCCAUCGUUCCCCUGGCCGGAUGGGGAUGUCUCCUUGGUAAUUAAUUUAUUUUGGGUGCAUAAUGCCUUGGCGAGCCAUGGCGUAUAUGUCUGUGCCCCCAUUUGCCUGUAAAUUGGGUCUGACUUUAAGUUGGGAGGUUGGAGUGAUGCUCGCAUCUCGCUGUGAAAUCUUUAGAUGAGGUAUGGACACAAAAGGUGCGCUGGACACGCUUCAUUGCCACGCUGGGAGAGCAGCGAUGGACGUAUCUUAUUCAUUAAAAUAAAUCAGAGGUUUCCUGCUGGUCACAAAAAAGCGCUCAUCGCGUGAGUCCGGCUGUCCCACACCCCCUGUUUCCCACAGAUCAGUCUGGUCUUCUUGCACGGGACUUGCUCUGCUCUGAACUUCACCGAGAGCGCAUCGUGCCCCAAAGUCAGGGAUGUCUCCUGGUUUCUCCCCGAGGGCAGAGGAUCUCCGUAGGGGUUACUGAGUUAUUGGAACUGGCUGUCUUCUUCCAGGUCAGGAGCUGUGAUUUCCCUGAUUUAGACGUGUGUUUGCUCUCUUUCAGAGCCCAUUAUGCAGGUUUGUCAUGUGAGAACGCGUGCUCCCAGCGGUGUUGGAGGUGCUUGGCCAUAUGUCACGAGAUGAAACUUCUCUCUUUGCUCGAGAAGGUCAGACGCGGGGUGGAUAAUACAUGCUGGAGUGCAUCUUGA